UUUAUUUUUUCACUCACUUAUUAUAUUAUUUUUAUUCAUCUACUUUCUCUACUCAUAACUCUAUAAGUACCCAUAUAUUCUUCACUCCAUUUCUUACACACACACAAACAGACACACACAUCUCUUCUCCUCCACACUAUCACUCUUCAACAACACACAUUUCUUUCCCUCUACACCAUAAUUAUUUUCUAUUAUCUCUCUAAUUUAAUCACUUUUACCAUAUUACCAUUUCCUUCUUCAUAGUCCACCAUCAUCAAACACAUCUCUUCUCCUCUAUAUCACCAUCUUCACAUUCUAAAACUUCCAUUUUCACUUGCAUCUCGAUCAGGCUAUCUCCGCUUUCUCCAUCCAGAAAGUGUCUAGGCGAUCCUAGCGUUGAGGACUACCAAACUGACCGAUCAAAUUGUUUAAUCGAACAAGUACGUGGUAAACCCUUUUAUUAGCCUUUUAGGGUUUUGAUUAUGUAAAACAAUUUUGUUUUGCAUGAAUCAAGGGUUCCUCUUAUUUGUGAUUCUAAGGUUGUUCUUCAAUUGUCAAUCAGUGAAUUAAUCGACAGAGUGUUUAGAGGAUUUUGAGCUGUUGAGAUUGAGGUAAAAGAAGCUAGAUUUACUUUAAUUUGUAAUUUAGUUCCUAUUUGUGAUGAAUCUAGGUGUAUUGUGUUAAUUGAAUUGAAUUCAGAUUUUAAAGUAGACAUUUCAUGUUUAAAUUGUUUGUUUUGAGUAUGGAUUGAUGAAUGAUGUUUAUGAACUGAAUUGCAUGAUGCUUAGAUCGUUUGGAAUGUAUUAUAUGUUGGAAAUUUGUGGUAAGAAGGUUCGCUGAUGAGUAGGCAUAGUUUGCAUUUGAUUUUGGGUUAGUUUUAAAUAAGUGAAUUAGUGAAAUUUAGAUUUGGGGGUUGGGUGCUCAAAUGGUCAGUUGUAAUAGUUUGGGUAAGUCAUUUGGGACUUGCUAAAGCCCCUAAAUUGCUUAAAACUGUGCCAAAAGUGGUAGAAUGAGAUUUGGGUCUAUAAGUUAGGUGUUUUGUAGAUUUUGAGGUGUAAAUUGUUUAGUAGAAACUUUAGAAUGAUGUUUGUAAGGUUUAGAAACAAUUGUCCAAGUUCAAUUAAGUCUAUAACACAAUUUAGGAGGAUUAGAAGUUGGGGAAAAUCUUCGAAAUUGGUAAAUUCUAGGUAUGUUGGGAAAAUUCUGCAGAUUUGUUCUGCAGAUUUGUGCUGCAAAAUUAUGCAAACCCGUUGAGCGAGUGGAGUCGCUCAGCGAGUGGUCAUAAAGUCUGGCACACUGUUCUGGUAUUCGCAUAGCAAGCAGGGGCGUUGACCGAGAGGUUGAGGUCUGAGAGCACUGUGAGUUUUAUUCGAUCAGCAAAAGGGGUCGCUGAGCGAAUGUGUUGGGGGUCUAGACCACUGUUUGGAGGAUUCACACAGCGAGUUGGUGCGCUAAGCGAGAGGUUGAGAUAUGGUACCAUUGGUAGUUUUAUUCGCUCAGCGAGCUGGGUAGUUGAGCGAGUGGAUUGGAGGCUGGCGAUACUAUCAUUGGAUUCGCACUGCGAGUUGGGUCGUUUUGCGAAAGAACUCUGUGGUCGUUCAGUGAGUGUGUGCGCUGAGCGAUUGGUCCAGGUUGUAAUAUACUAUUUUCUUCUUUGUUCUUAAUUGGUUUGAGUUAUGUAAUCGAUUCAUUUGUGGAUGAGGUAUGAUUAUGUAUGAGUAUUAUAUGAGUAUCAGAGUAAAGUAUAUUGUUUCAAAUGGUGUGGAGGAGAAUUCCAAGAAGGAAUUUCUCUGUGGUGGUUGUCAAAGUUUGUAAGUAUGAAUAUGGAAAGCUCAGUCUUGAAGUUCA
Vigna radiata var. radiata (mung bean) is the source of this 1827-nucleotide long non-coding RNA. RefSeq lists it as uncharacterized. Lineage: Eukaryota; Viridiplantae; Streptophyta; Magnoliopsida; Fabales; Fabaceae. The record is from RefSeq and is a predicted model, not a curated record. The transcript is spliced from 2 exons.